GGUCUAGUGGUCUAGUGGUAUGAUUCUCGCUUUGGGAUCCACUUUUCCUCUUGCGAGAGGCCCCGGGUUCGAAUCCCGGCUGGACCC
Molecule: transfer RNA, 87 nt
Filed under: Cordyceps fumosorosea ARSEF 2679
Lineage: Eukaryota; Fungi; Ascomycota; Sordariomycetes; Hypocreales; Cordycipitaceae
Description: Isaria fumosorosea ARSEF 2679 tRNA
Rfam family: tRNA
About the family: Transfer RNA (tRNA) molecules are approximately 80 nucleotides in length. Their secondary structure includes four short double-helical elements and three loops (D, anti-codon, and T loops).
Source: Rfam by way of RNAcentral